CCCAGUUCGGAUUGCAGGCUGCAACCCGCCUGCAUGAAGUUGGAAUCGCUAGUAAUCGCGGAUCAGCAUGCCGCGGUGAAUACGUUCCCGGGCCUUGUACACACCGCCCGUCACACCAUGAGAGUCGGGAACACCCGAAGUCCGUAGCCUAACCGCAGGGGGGCGCGGCCGAAGGUGGGUUCGAUAAUUGGGGUGAAGUCGUAACAAGGUAAC
Molecule: ribosomal RNA, 213 nt
Filed under: uncultured bacterium
Lineage: Bacteria
Description: partial 16S ribosomal RNA
Rfam family: Bacterial small subunit ribosomal RNA
Source: RNAcentral